AUAAUUAUAGUGCAAGAGUGAAAAAGGAGAUUUGAGAGAGAAAGGAAAAGCGAUAAGAAAACCCUAGUAGCCGCCAUCAACUUUGGCUUGGAGGAGGGGUGGAUUCCGGUGAUUCGUUGCCGUGAGAGUCUUCUCCUCCUCCUCUUCUUGUUAUUAUGUUGUAUGUAUCUCUGUUACCCACCUCUGUUUCUCUUCUUCACACGCCGUCGAGAUGCGAGCUACUCUUGAUUUCCAUGGAUUUUCUGGUGGAUUUACAACGGUGAGACAGUUUCUGUCACGUUGCUGGAGUAGCAGCGAGAUGCUGCAAGGAGUCGAGAAGGAGGGGCUUCAUAUGAGAGUAAUUUCGAUCUGGGUGGGUUAGUUCUGUGGCUAGGGGCGAAUGGAGGCGUGUGGAGAGUGUCUCCUUCGUGUGGUGGUGUUGAACCGUUGGGUUUCAAAGGUUCAGAUGUGCUCUGAUGCUCCUCUCCAUCUUGGCUCCUCUCCCCUGUUUUGCCUACUUAUCUACUCAACGGAGAGGUUAUAUCUUCUGAAUCCUUUUUUACCUUAUAGAUUGGCUGUUUUAGUCUCUUCUUGGUGUCGGUACGGCAGUGGCGUUAAUGACGAAUCCGUGAGCAGAACAUGUUUAGCAUCCUUGUUGUGAAGAAGUUGGUUGGUGUCACCUCUCCAUUUCCAGUUGUGAAGGAGUCCUUGCUGCAGCUUUUAAUAAGAGUUCGUCCCCUUCCUGGUUUGUUCGCUGAUCUCUGGUUUCCUCGGUGGCUUCUUCUUGGAUGAUUGAAACAGUAAAAAGAGGUUGAGGUUUUGGUUCAAUCAGAUGAAGUUGCGGUUUUGUAGGGGGGUUGGUCCCGGGUGUUUUGGUUCUUAGACCCAUGGUUUGGGGUCGGUGUGUGUGUGGUGCUAUUCGGCGUGGUUCUGGCUUUUCAUCGUGGACAGGAGGUUCAGGUGAUUUCGGUUCUGUUAAGUCAUUUUUGCCACUUAUCAGCUUGGUUGACUGUGGUCUUGUGAAAGACUUCCAGUUAUUUUUGGCCUUGACUUUGCUAUCUAUGGGUUUGUUAAAGGAUUGUAGGAAGAUUUAGUUGUAAGAAUUUGCGUUUGUAUAAGUUAUAUUGUAGUCUGGUCUUUGGUGCCCUCGUAUGGGUUUUAGUGUCUUUUCUAUGGACUUUUGUUUCCGGGGAUAUCAACGUGUUCCGCCGGCUUUUGUAUUCCAUCCAGUGUUUAAUAUAAUCAAUUGACGGA
Brassica rapa (field mustard) is the source of this 1233-nucleotide long non-coding RNA. RefSeq lists it as uncharacterized. The record is from RefSeq and is a predicted model, not a curated record. NCBI's taxonomy places the organism in Eukaryota, Viridiplantae, Streptophyta, Magnoliopsida, Brassicales, Brassicaceae.